UGGCUCAGUGGUAGAGCACUUGCCUUGCACGCAUGAGGCCCUGGGUUCGAUUCCUCAG
This 58-nucleotide transfer RNA is filed under the name Dipodomys ordii (Ord's kangaroo rat). It matches the Rfam family "tRNA", at positions 8 to 63 of the family's 71-position model. Rfam says of the family: Transfer RNA (tRNA) molecules are approximately 80 nucleotides in length. The record is from Rfam by way of RNAcentral. Lineage: Eukaryota; Metazoa; Chordata; Mammalia; Rodentia; Heteromyidae.